CCUACGGGCGGCAGCAGUGGGGAAUAUUGGGCAAUGGGCGAAAGCCUGACCCAGCAACGCCGCGUGAAGGAAGAAGGCUUUCGGGUUGUAAACUUCUUUUGACAGGGAAGAGCAGAAGACGGUACCUGUCGAAUAAGCCACGGCUAACUACGUGCCAGCAGCCGCGGUAAUACGUAGGUGGCAAGCGUUGUCCGGAUUUACUGGGGGUAAAGGGCGUGUAGCCGGGCUGACAAGUCAGAUGUGAAAUCCGGGGGCUCAACCCCCGAACUGCAUUUGAAACUGUUGGUCUUGAGUAUCGGAGAGGCAGGCGGAAUUCCUAGUGUAGCGGUGAAAUGCGUAGAUAUUAGGAGGAACACCAGUGGCGAAGGCGGCCUGCUGGACGACAACUGACGGUGAGGCGCGAAAGUGUGGGGAGCAAACAGGAUUAGAUACCCCUGUAGUC
Molecule: ribosomal RNA, 442 nt
Filed under: uncultured bacterium
Lineage: Bacteria
Description: partial 16S ribosomal RNA
Rfam family: Bacterial small subunit ribosomal RNA
Source: RNAcentral